CUACGGGGGGCUGCAGUCGGGAAUAUUGGACAAUGGGGGAAACCCUGAUCCAGCCAUGCCGCGUGUGUGAAGAAGGCCCUAGGGUUGUAAAGCACUUUUAGUAGUGAGGAAGGCUCAGUAGUUAAUACCUACUGGGAUUGACGUUAGCUACAGAAAAAGCACCGGCUAAUUUCGUGCCAGCAGCCGCGGUAAUACGAAAGGUGCAAGCGUUAAUCGGAAUUACUGGGCGUAAAGCGCGCGUAGGCGGCUUGGUAAGUUGGAUGUGAAAGCCCCGGGCUCAACCUGGGAACUGCAUCCAAAACUGCCUAGCUAGAGUAUGGUAGAGGAUGGCGGAAUUUCCUGUGUAGCGGUGAAAUGCGUAGAUAUAGGAAGGAACAUCAGUGGCGAAGGCGGCCAUCUGGACCAAUACUGACGCUGAGGUGCGAAAGCGUGGGGAGCAAACAGGAUUAGAUACCCCGGUAGUC
This 464-nucleotide ribosomal RNA is filed under the name uncultured bacterium. RNAcentral's name for it is "partial 16S ribosomal RNA". It matches the Rfam family "Bacterial small subunit ribosomal RNA", at positions 339 to 795 of the family's 1533-position model. The record is from RNAcentral.